CCUACGGGGGGCUGCAGUGGGGAAUAUUGGACAAUGGGGGGAACCCUGAUCCAGCCAUGCCGCGUGUGUGAAGAAGGCCCUCGGGUUGUAAAGCACUUUCAGUGAGGAAGAACGCCUGGUGGUUAAUACCCAUCAGGAAAGACAUCACUCACAGAAGAAGCACCGGCUAGCUCCGUGCCAGCAGCCGCGGUAAUACGGAGGGUGCGAGCGUUAAUCGGAAUUACUGGGCGUAAAGCGCGCGUAGGUGGCUUGAUAAGCCGGUUGUGAAAGCCCCGGGCUCAACCUGGGAACGGCAUCCGGAACUGUCAAGCUAGAGUGCAGGAGAGGAAGGUAGAAUUCCCGGUGUAGCGGUGAAAUGCGUAGAGAUCGGGAGGAAUACCAGUGGCGAAGGCGGCCUUCUGGACUGACACUGACACUGAGGUGCGAAAGCGUGGGUAGCAAACAGGAUUAGAUACCCCAGUAGUC
RNAcentral lists this ribosomal RNA (465 nucleotides) under Vreelandella stevensii. RNAcentral describes it as "partial 16S ribosomal RNA". It matches the Rfam family "Bacterial small subunit ribosomal RNA", at positions 338 to 795 of the family's 1533-position model. The record is from RNAcentral. Lineage: Bacteria; Pseudomonadati; Pseudomonadota; Gammaproteobacteria; Oceanospirillales; Halomonadaceae.